This 487-nucleotide ribosomal RNA is filed under the name uncultured bacterium. RNAcentral describes it as "bacterial SSU rRNA". It matches the Rfam family "Bacterial small subunit ribosomal RNA", at positions 26 to 507 of the family's 1533-position model. The record is from RNAcentral.
AGGAUGAACGCUAGCGGCAGGCUUAAUACAUGCAAGUCGUGGGGCAGCGCAGUGUAGCAAUACAUGGGCGGCGACCGGCAAACGGGUGCGGAACACGUACACAACCUUCCUACAAGUGGGGAAUAGCCCAGAGAAAUUUGGAUUAAUACCCCGUAACAUAUAAAGAUGGCAUCAUUUUUAUAUUAUAGCUACGGCGCUUGUUGAUGGGUGUGCGGCUGAUUAGGUAGUUGGCGGGGUAAUGGCCCACCAAGCCUGCGAUCAGUAGCUGAUGUGAGAGCAUGAUCAGCCACACGGGCACUGAGACACGGGCCCGACUCCUACGGGAGGCAGCAGUAAGGAAUAUUGGACAAUGGGCGCAAGCCUGAUCCAGCCAUGCCGCGUGAAGGAUUAAGGUCCUCUGGAUUGUAAACUUCUUUUAUAAGGGACGAAAAAGGGAAUUCUUUCUCACUUGACGGUACCUUAUGAAUAAGCACCGGCUAACUCCGUG